ACACUCCCCCUGGCAGCACAUACUCUAAAAUUGGAGCAAUACAGAAAAGAUUAGCAUGGACCCUGUGCAAAGAUGAUAUGAAGAAUCAUGAAGUGUUCCAUAUUUUU
Small nuclear RNA from Grammomys surdaster, 107 nucleotides. The record is from RefSeq and is a predicted model, not a curated record. NCBI's taxonomy places the organism in Eukaryota, Metazoa, Chordata, Mammalia, Rodentia, Muridae.